ACUGGCAUCAUAUCAGUGCAUCGGUUAUUUAAUCUAAAUGGUUUUCUUUUCACUUCUAAUGAGUUUUUGGCAUAUUAUAAGAUUCCUGUAACACCAGGGGACUAUGCAAAAAUUUUUGGUACAAUAUCUCCUAAUGCCUAUAUGCUGUUUAGACAUAAGAAAAGAAUUAACAUUCAUCAAUGAUCCCCAGCUACUUUAAUACGUUCUUAUGUGUAGUGCAACUGCCAUCCAAGCAGAAAAUCCCACCAUGGCAUCCUGUCUUUCAUGACUGAGUCCCACCCAAAUGGCUCCAUGGUAGCAGGAUGAUGGUGUGAUGUGAGAAAUUGCUGUUUCCUUUUCUUGCAAUAAAAAAAGUGUAGUCCACGUCUUAUAUCUGCCUGAAGGUCUUCAUGCACUACUGGUCCUAUCACCGAAUUAAUCAGCACUGCGCAUUUCAUUCUGUGUAAACUGAUACCUUUCUUGGAAAUGUCUUCCACAACUCUUCCGAAAUGAUCAGCAGUUAUUAAGGUGCUUGAGUGGCGAGCAACGUGAGCAGCCUGCUUCAACUCUGCUUAUUUUACUGCAGGUUUUAUUCUGGGUAAGAGAACUGAACCCCAAAUUGGACUAAUCAGCUGUGAGCAAAAUGAUAUAAAUCUGACUCAUCAAAGUUAACCCAUUAAUGUUUGUAGACAU
Ictalurus punctatus (channel catfish) is the source of this 672-nucleotide long non-coding RNA. RefSeq lists it as uncharacterized. Lineage: Eukaryota; Metazoa; Chordata; Actinopteri; Siluriformes; Ictaluridae. The transcript is spliced from 3 exons. The record is from RefSeq and is a predicted model, not a curated record.